This 330-nucleotide ribosomal RNA is filed under the name uncultured eukaryote. Its description in RNAcentral is "partial 18S ribosomal RNA". It matches the Rfam family "Eukaryotic small subunit ribosomal RNA", at positions 1470 to 1796 of the family's 1831-position model. The record is from RNAcentral.
CCCUUAGAUGUCCGGGGCUGCACGCGCGCUACACUGUAGAAAGCAGCGUGCUUUAAAACCUUUCCUGAAAAGGAUGGGUAACCCCAGCAGAAUUCUACGUGCUUGGGAUAGAGAUUUGCAAUUUUCUCUCUUGAACGAGGAAUUCCCAGUAAGUGCGAGUCAUCAGCUCGCGUUGAUUACGUCCCUGCCCUUUGUACACACCGCCCGUCGCUACUACCGAUUGGGAAAAUUUUAGAGAGUCCUGGACUGAUGAUUGUUCGGCUUCACGGCCUUACUUUCGUCGGGAAAGAAUUCGAUAAUAUUUUUCUAGAGGAAGUAAAAGUCGUAACA